GUGCUUGCUUCAGCAGCACAUAUACUAAUAUUGGCAUGAUACAGAGAAGACUGACAUGGCCCCUGAGCAAGGAUGACUUGCAAAUCCAUGAAGCAUUCCAUAUUUUU
Molecule: small nuclear RNA, 107 nt
Organism: Chionomys nivalis (European snow vole)
Lineage: Eukaryota; Metazoa; Chordata; Mammalia; Rodentia; Cricetidae
Source: RefSeq, a predicted model, not a curated record